RNAcentral lists this unclassified non-coding RNA (348 nucleotides) under soil metagenome. RNAcentral describes it as "partial contains 5.8S ribosomal RNA, internal transcribed spacer 2, and large subunit ribosomal RNA". The stretch from base 1 to 120 matches the Rfam family "5.8S ribosomal RNA", at positions 35 to 154 of the family's 154-position model. The record is from RNAcentral.
GAUGAAGAACGCAGCGAAAUGCGAUAAGUAAUGUGAAUUGCAGAAUUCAGUGAAUCAUCGAGUCUUUGAACGCACAUUGCGCCCCCUGGUAUUCCGGGGGGCAUGCCUGUCCGAGCGUCAUUGCCGCCCUCAAGCACGGCUUGUGUGUUGGGCCCCCGCCCCCCGGCUUCGGGGGGCGGGCCCGAAAGGCAGCGGCGGCACCGCGUCCGGUCCUCGAGCGUAUGGGGCUUCGUCACCCGCUCUGUAGGCCCGGCCGGCGCCCGCCGGCGACCCCAACCAAUCUUUCCAGGUUGACCUCGGAUCAGGUAGGGAUACCCGCUGAACUUAAGCAUAUCAAUAAGCGGAGGA